Molecule: long non-coding RNA, 1506 nt
Filed under: Cairina moschata (Muscovy duck)
Lineage: Eukaryota; Metazoa; Chordata; Aves; Anseriformes; Anatidae
Description: domestica (muscovy Duck (domestic type)) lncRNA (ENSCMMG00000000998.1)
Source: RNAcentral
AUGGUGAGAAGUGAAACUUACUUGCCAUGCUACUCACCAGAGGAGCAAUCAUAUGGUUUCCUGGUAUCUGUGGAGUACUUUCACAUCCAGGAUGGUAAAAAUUACAGAACAUUGUGGCUGCACAGGAGAAAGACCUUUAUCCAACUUCUGGCAUCUCCACUCACUGGGACUACACAGCUAUUGUAGUAGAUGCUGGCAGAAGCCUGUACAUCCCUGAGUCUUGAAAGUCAGAUGAUGGCUGUAUGAAUCCCAUUCUGCUCUUAGGUCUGGAAGGGUACCCAUAGGCAAUACAAGAUGACUUCAGUUCAUACUGUCCCUGGUUCUUGCAUUGCUGCACUAGAUUUAAAUAAUAAAAAUAAUAAAUUACAACAGAAUCUAUAUAUAGACAAAGUUUCUAGUCAUCCCCUUGCAGCUCAGAAAAAAAAGUGUCCCCAGUGCAAGCAGAAAGAAGGAAGUAUGUUCCACCUAUGACUUGAAGAAGUAACACAGUGCUAUGGAAAAUAAAAUUUACAGUUGCAGCUUCAGUUCCUGUUUUCUCCUGCUGCAGAGGGAGUGCCUGCUGGAUUUAGGGAGACAAUUAGGAAUAUCAUAGUGAUUAGCGUAUCUUCUUUGCCAAAUCUCCACCAUGGCCUGAGUUCCAGGGCCUGGCUUAUGGGCCUGUUGAAUUUAAGAAAGCCAAACAUUUCCUUGCAAUGACUUCCUUCCAUGCUCAUGUAUCCCCAAGAGCAGGACUUCUUGUCAAGCACUUCAUGUGUUUGAAGUGCAGUACUCCUAAAAGCAGGUGGAUCUGGAUUUUAGAAAUAAUUAAAAUCUUGUGGUGACUGAAAAGGUUUCCUCCAUUGGCCUCAUGGGCACUUGCAAAGUUGAAGCUUUCCUGCAGAGCAGCUUCACUUUCUGUACAAGGGGUAGCAAAACUGGGAUGGCAGGCAGGAGAUGCUGAGAUCUUGUCCUGUACUCUGGCAUUGCACACUGGUUUUUGCUGUUGAUCUCCUUUUGACGUGACAUGAAGUCUUCAACACUCAGUGUCUAAAUGUUUACAGUAUCUGUGUCUGCUAGAUAUAUUGGAUUGCUUUUACUGUUAUUAAAAUUAGAAUAAUCAGUUCCAACAGGAAGCUGACCAGAUGUCCUCAUUUAAUCAGAACAGAUCCCCUUUUUUCACGUAAUAUCCAGCUGUCCUAAUACUUUUCAGAGUAGACCCAUUAAUCUCAGUUUUCGUUGCAGUGAAAUUCUUGAUAGCUGUCAAGAAAUGCUCACUAAUAAUUGUCUGAUCCCUUCAUACUGUUUAAUGCUCAGAACUUUUCUUAAUAAGCAAAGAAAAUCAUAUUCUAUUUGCAAGGAAAUGCUUCAGUCUCACCCCUAGUGUAAAAUAUUUUCAAGAGAAUUCAUUAUGAAAGUAUUUUUGGAUUAAUUUAAUUUGUACACUAUUUUCUCAGACUGUAGGAAGCAGUUGGAAUGUUGUCUGGCAGAAUGUGUAGGGGAGAGAAAAUACACAUUUCUACAUAUGGG